AGAGUUUGAUCAUGGCUCAGGACGAACGCUGGCGGCGUUAACACAUGCAAGUCGAGCGGAAAGGCCCUUCGGGGUACUCGAGCGGCGAACGGGUGAGUAACACGUGAGUAAUCUGCCCCUAGCUCUGGGAUAGCUCCGGGAAACCGGGAUUAAUACCGGAUACGACCACUACAGACAUCUGUUCUGGUGGAAAGAAUUUCGGCUAGGGAUGAGCUCGCGGCCUAUCAGCUUGUUGGUGGGGUAACGGCCUACCAAGGCGACGACGGGUAGCCGGCCUGAGAGGGCGACCGGCCACACUGGGACUGAGACACGGCCCAGACUCCUACGGGAGGCAGCAGUGGGGAAUAUUGCGCAAUGGGCGAAAGCCUGACGCAGCGACGCCGCGUGGGGGAUGAAGGCCUUCGGGUUGUAAACCCCUUUCAGCAGGGACGAAGCGAAAGUGACGGUACCUGCAGAAGAAGCGCCGGCUAACUACGUGCCAGCAGCCGCGGUAACACGUAGGGCGCAAGCGUUGUCCGGAAUUAUUGGGCGUAAAGAGCUCGUAGGCGGUCUGUUGCGUCCGCUGUGAAAACUCGGGGCUUAACCCCGAGCCUGCAGUGGAUACGGGCAGACUAGAGGUAGGUAGGGGAGAAUGGAAUUCCCGGUGUAGCGGUGAAAUGCGCAGAUAUCGGGAGGAACACCGGUGGCGAAGGCGGUUCUCUGGGCCUUACCUGACGCUGAGGAGCGAAAGCGUGGGGAGCGAACAGGAUUAGAUACCCUAGUAGUCC
This 767-nucleotide ribosomal RNA is filed under the name uncultured bacterium. Its description in RNAcentral is "bacterial SSU rRNA". It matches the Rfam family "Bacterial small subunit ribosomal RNA", at positions 8 to 796 of the family's 1533-position model. The record is from RNAcentral.